UACGUAGGUGGCAUGCGGUGUCCGGAAUUAUUGGGCGUAAAGCGCGCGCGGGUGGUCCUUUAAGUCUGAUGUGAAAGCCCACGGCUCAACCGUGGAGGGUCAUUGGAAACUGGGGGACUUGAGUGCAGAAGAGGAAAGUGGAAUUCCAAGUGUAGCGGUGAAAUGCGUAGAGAUUUGGAGGAACACCAGUGGCGAAGGCGCCUUUCUGUUCUGUAACUUACACUGAGGCGCGAAAGCUUGUGGAGCAAACAGG
Molecule: ribosomal RNA, 253 nt
Filed under: uncultured bacterium
Lineage: Bacteria
Description: partial 16S ribosomal RNA
Rfam family: Bacterial small subunit ribosomal RNA
Source: RNAcentral